UCUGCCUCUACAGGCAUUGUAGGGGCAGCAGCUGUGUCAUAUAGGCAUCAGUAGAUAGCAGAGAGGAGGUGCUAUGUACAGGCAUUGUAGGGGCAGCAGCUGUGCCAUAUAGGUAUCAGUAGAUAGCAGAGAGA
Mus pahari (shrew mouse) is the source of this 134-nucleotide small nucleolar RNA. RefSeq annotates it as small nucleolar RNA SNORA17. The record is from RefSeq and is a predicted model, not a curated record. NCBI's taxonomy places the organism in Eukaryota, Metazoa, Chordata, Mammalia, Rodentia, Muridae. The transcript has a single exon.